This 481-nucleotide ribosomal RNA is filed under the name uncultured bacterium. Its description in RNAcentral is "bacterial SSU rRNA". It matches the Rfam family "Bacterial small subunit ribosomal RNA", at positions 30 to 507 of the family's 1533-position model. The record is from RNAcentral.
AUUGAACGCUGGCGGCAUGCCUUACACAUGCAAGUCGAACGGCAGCACGGGUGCUUGCACCUGGUGGCGAGUGGCGAACGGGUGAGUAAUAUAUCGGAACGUACCUUAUCGUGGGGGAUAACGCAGCGAAAGCUGCGCUAAUACCGCAUACGCCCUGAGGGGGAAAGCGGGGGACCGUAAGGCCUCGCGCGAUUAGAGCGGCCGAUAUCUGAUUAGCUAGUUGGUAGGGUAACGGCCUACCAAGGCGACGAUCAGUAGGGGAUGUGAGAGCAUGAUCCCCCACACGGGUACUGAGACACGGACCCGACUCCUACGGGAGGCAGCAGUAAGGAAUAUUGGACAAUGGUCGGAAGACUGAUCCAGCCAUGCCGCGUGAAGGAUGAAGGCGCUCAGCGUUGUAAACUUCUUUUGUACGGGAACAAAAUGCGACCUGCGGGUUGUACUGAGGGUACCGUAAGAAUAAGCACCGGCUAACUCCGUG